GUAGGUGGGGUAACGGCUCACCUAGGCGACGAUCCCUAGCUGGUCUGAGAGGAUGACCAGCCACACUGGAACUGAGACACGGUCCAGACUCCUACGGGAGGCAGCAGUGGGGAAUAUUGCACAAUGGGCGCAAGCCUGAUGCAGCCAUGCCGCGUGUGUGAAGAAGGCCUUCGGGUUGUAAAGCACUUUCAGCGGGGAGGAAGGCGAUAAGGUUAAUAACCUUGUCGAUUGACGUUACCCGCAGAAGAAGCACCGGCUAACUCCGUGCCAGCAGCCGCGGUAAUACGGAGGGUGCAAGCGUUAAUCGGAAUUACUGGGCGUAAAGCGCACGCAGGCGGUCUGUCAAGUCGGAUGUGAAAUCCCCGGGCUCAACCUGGGAACUGCAUUCGAAACUGGCAGGCUAGAGUCUUGUAGAGGGGGGUAGAAUUCCAGGUGUAGCGGUGAAAUGCGUAGAGAUCUGGAGGAAUACCGGUGGCGAAGGCGGCCCCCUGGACAAAGACUGACGCUCAGGUGCGAAAGCGUGGGGAGCAAACAGGAUUAGAUACCCUGGUAGUCCACGCCGUAAACGAUGUCGAUUUGGAGGUUGUGCCCUUGAGGCGUGGCUUCCGGAGCUAACGCGUUAAAUCGACCGCCUGGGGAGUACGGCCGCAAGGUUAAAACUCAAAUGAAUUGACGGGGGCCCGCACAAGCGGUGGAGCAUGUGGUUUAAUUCGAUGCAACGCGAAGAACCUUACCUGGUCUUGACAUCCACAGAACUUUCCAGAGAUGGAUUGGUGCCUUCGGGAACUGUGAGACAGGUGCUGCAUGGCUGUCGUCAGCUCGUGUUGUGAAAUGUUGGGUUAAGUCCCGCAACGAGCGCAACCCUUAUCCUUUGUUGCCAGCGGUCCGGCCGGGAACUCAAAGGAGACUGCCAGUGAUAAACUGGAGGAAGGUGGGGAUGACGUCAAGUCAUCAUGGCCCUUACGACCAGGGCUACACACGUGCUACAAUGGCAUAUACAAAGAGAAGCGACCUCGCGAGAGCAAGCGGACCUCAUAAAGUAUGUCGUAGUCCGGAUUGGAGUCUGCAACUCGACUCCAUGAAGUCGGAAUCGCUAGUAAUCGUAGAUCAGAAUGCUACGGUGAAUACGUUCCCGGGCCUUGUACACACCGCCCGUCACACCAUGGGAGUGGGUUGCAAAAGAAGUAGGUAGCUUAACCUUCGGGAGGGCGCUUACCACUUUGUGAUUCAUGACUGGGGUGAAGUCGUAACAAGGUAACCGUAGGGGAACCUGCGGUUGGAUCACCU
This 1287-nucleotide ribosomal RNA is filed under the name Klebsiella pneumoniae CHS 54. Its description in RNAcentral is "bacterial SSU rRNA". It matches the Rfam family "Bacterial small subunit ribosomal RNA", at positions 248 to 1528 of the family's 1533-position model. The record is from RNAcentral. Lineage: Bacteria; Pseudomonadati; Pseudomonadota; Gammaproteobacteria; Enterobacterales; Enterobacteriaceae.